ACUCCUACGGGAGGCAGCAGUAGGGAAUCUUCCACAAUGGACGAAAGUCUGAUGGAGCAACGCCGCGUGAACGAUGAAGGCCUCGGUCGUAAGUUACUGUUGUAGGAAGAACAAGUAGCGCAGGCAAUGGCGGCACCUUGACGGUACCUUGCGAGAAAGCCACGGCUAACUACGUGCCAGCAGCCGCGGUAAUACGUAGGUGGCAAGCGUUGUCCGGAAUUAUUGGGCGUAAAGCGCGCGCAGGCGGCCUCUUAAGUCUGAUGUGAAAGCCCCGGCUCAACCGGGGGAGGGCCAUUGGAAACUGGGAGGCUUGAGUAUAGGAGAGAAGAGUGGAAUUCCACGUGUAGCGGUGAAAUGCGUAGAGAUGUGGAGGAACACCAGUGGCGAAGGCGACUCUUUGGCCUAUAACUGACGCUGAGGCGCGAAAGCGUGGGGAGCAAACAGGAUUAGAUACCCUGGUAGGAUAGCG
Molecule: ribosomal RNA, 469 nt
Filed under: uncultured bacterium
Lineage: Bacteria
Description: bacterial SSU rRNA
Rfam family: Bacterial small subunit ribosomal RNA
Source: RNAcentral